AUUGAACGCUGGCGGCAUGCCUAACACAUGCAAGUCGAACGGCAGCACAGUAACAAUUUUCUCUUCCGGUUGCCAACUGGUGGGUAAUACAUGGAAACGUCCGCAUUCGCUUUUUCUAAGGCGGCAACGUCUGUGCUCUUACCGCAAUCCCUCUUCCGAUGCACGCGGGAGAGCGCGGGAUCUUGGGCCCAUGCACCAGCCGAUGACCCGAUGUCUCAUUAGUUAGUUGGCGGGGUAAAGGCCCACCAAUGCGUCGAUCCGUAGCUGGUCUGAGAGGAUGAUCAGCCACACUGGGACUGAGACACGGUCCAGACUCCUACGGGAGGCAGCAGUGGGGAAUAUUGGACAAUGGGCGAAAGCCUGAUCCAGCCAUCCCGCGUGAACGAUGAAGGCCUUCGGGUUGUAAACCGCUUUUGUCAGGAACGAAAAGCACCCUGUUAAUACCGCACUUUUAUGACGGUACCGUAAGAAUAAGCACCGGCUAACUUCGUG
This 492-nucleotide ribosomal RNA is filed under the name uncultured bacterium. Its description in RNAcentral is "partial 16S ribosomal RNA". It matches the Rfam family "Bacterial small subunit ribosomal RNA", at positions 30 to 507 of the family's 1533-position model. The record is from RNAcentral.